AUGUACUUCCAGAUCACCUUGUCCAAUAAGGACAACUCACUGAGCUUGUCAUUCACAUAUAGGCAUGCAACUUUGUAUUUGGAGGCAAUGGAAGUCAUGCACAUGGGGGAUGCUAGCGCUGCAUGUUAUGACCACGUCAAUGCUGGUCUCGAUGCUUUGCUGUUAAGUUCGGCACCACUAGCAGAGGUGAGGGACGGUUUGGCUUUCGAGGACCAACUGGCCGUAACGGCAGAUGCAAGGAAGGGUAAGGAAAUAGCAACUGCAAGUGCUGACCAUGACGCGGGGCAUAGCCAGAGUGCUGGCCAGUCUGCUAGCAUAAACAAACUUCAAGGGCUUGGUGCACCUAACAAGCAUAGAGGCGCUGGCAGGCCGACGAACAGUCGGGACAAAGCCACAUACGAAGGUUUAAGCAAGCGCACCAGAUUCUGUAGCAUCUGUCGGUGCGAAGGUCAUAAGAAGACCACGUGCCCGGAAAGGGGUGAUACACCAAAGAAACCACGAAAACCAGCAAAAUGCAAGAAUUGUAGGAUCGAAGGACACCGGCGGAACACUUGCAAGCGGCCGCUUGGUUUGGCUGAGCAAUGA
This 585-nucleotide ribosomal RNA is filed under the name Triticum aestivum (bread wheat). RNAcentral describes it as "partial small subunit ribosomal RNA". The record is from RNAcentral. Lineage: Eukaryota; Viridiplantae; Streptophyta; Magnoliopsida; Poales; Poaceae.